UUUGACUCCAAAGUUUUAGUGGCAACCCAUUUAAGUAGUUGCCUCUGAAGGGCUUCUAUGGCGCCUAGGCCGCCUCUAAAUCUCGGCUUUGAAAAAAAAAAAAACUAAACAAGCCCUAAUUGAAAAGAAGGAAUCACAUCCAUAUGUUUCUUUGCUCCGUCUCUCUCUCUCGAAAGUUCUCCAUUUUCUCUCAUCUCAAAUUUGUCAAAUUCCGCUCCCAAAAUGUGAAUCAUAUAUUAGACACCAAAAUCCUUAAUCACUAAUUGUGACUCCAUCAGGUAUCUGACAAUAAUACCUUUUGCUUAAUGCUCUUGGCUCCAGUUAAACAAAAUAAGGUUAUGUAAGACAAAAAAGGUCGCAACAGAGGUUAGCAUACUUAAUACUUCUUAAAGUUGAAGUUCCACAUAUAUGGAUCAUCAUGGUUUUAUUCUUGGUUACUUGUGAAAAAAAAAAUUAUGUGCUACUUUUAAAUUUCUUAGCUUAAUAAUAAGCUUAUUUUAUUGGCAUUUAAUUAUUUUUUUAACCUUAUUGUUGACAACUUGUUCAUGAAGGAGCUUUACUGUGGUCAUUAUGAGAGGAAAUUGACAGAAAGGGCAUUUAGUUUUCAGUGAUAGAUAUAUGUGGUGAUAGCUAUUCAAUUUGGUAUCUAUUAGAUAUGUGGAUUUUAGAUGGGCAUAUACAUGACUUUAACGACCCUUAGAUUUUCAAUGGGCAUAUAUCAGACUAGAAUGGAGCAUUUUUUUUUCCCUUAGCUGAAAUUUUUGGUAAAGUAAUUAUGCAUUGUGGCACCCAAGGGUGUGACCUAGUGGUCAAUAAAGUGGGUGAGAAUCAUGAGGUCUCAGGUUCAAAUCCCAGCGGAGGCAAAUAUUAGGUGAUUUUUUCCCAUUUAUUCAAGCCUUGGUGGAUAGAGUUACCUGGUAGUUGUUGCUGGUGGGAGGUGGCAGGUAUCCCGUGGAAUUAGUCGAGGUGCGCGCAAGCUGGCCCGGACACCACGAUUAUCAAAAAAUAAAAAUAAAAAAAAAUUAUACAUUGUGCUUGCAAAAAUUAAGUGAUUGCAGAGAUAUUUUCGAGGCACGGGAUUCUGAGUUCACGGCUUGAGCUUGUGCAGAGUCUCAAGACUUCAAGGGAAAAUGAUACUAGCCAAGGCGAAGGCGGAACUUGAAGAAAUCUUAUUUUGCUUUUAUUUUUUUGUUUCAUGAGUACAAUUAGUUAUGUUAUGAAUUAUUAAUAGAAUUUUUCUA
Molecule: long non-coding RNA, 1241 nt
Organism: Nicotiana tabacum (common tobacco)
Lineage: Eukaryota; Viridiplantae; Streptophyta; Magnoliopsida; Solanales; Solanaceae
Source: RefSeq, a predicted model, not a curated record